GUGCUCCUACGGGAGGCAGCAGUGGGGAAUAUUGCACAAUGGGGGAAACCCUGAUGCAGCGACGCCGCGUGAGUGAAGAAGUAUUUCGGUAUGUUAAGCUCUAUCAGCAGGGAAGAAAAAAGACGGUACCUGACUAAGAAGCCCCGGCUAACUACGUGCCAGCAGCCGCGGUAAUACGUAGGGGGCAAGCGUUAUCCGGAUUUACUGGGUGUAAAGGGAGCGUAGACGGCGCGGCAAGUCUGGUGUGAAAGCCCGGGGCCCAACCCCGGGACUGCAUUGGAAACUGCCGGGCUGGAGUGCCGGAG
Molecule: ribosomal RNA, 305 nt
Filed under: uncultured bacterium
Lineage: Bacteria
Description: bacterial SSU rRNA
Rfam family: Bacterial small subunit ribosomal RNA
Source: RNAcentral